Molecule: ribosomal RNA, 825 nt
Filed under: Leptosphaerulina gaeumannii
Lineage: Eukaryota; Fungi; Ascomycota; Dothideomycetes; Pleosporales; Didymellaceae
Also listed under: 2 other names
Description: partial large subunit ribosomal RNA
Rfam family: Eukaryotic large subunit ribosomal RNA
Source: RNAcentral
AGUAACGGCGAGUGAAGCGGCAACAGCUCAAAUUUGAAAUCUGGCGUCUUUGGCGUCCGAGUUGUAAUUUGCAGAGGGCGCUUUGGCAUUGGCAGCGGUCCAAGUUCCUUGGAACAGGACGUCACAGAGGGUGAGAAUCCCGUACGUGGUCGCUAGCCUUUACCGUGUAAAGCCCCUUCGACGAGUCGAGUUGUUUGGGAAUGCAGCUCUAAAUGGGAGGUAAAUUUCUUCUAAAGCUAAAUACUGGCCAGAGACCGAUAGCGCACAAGUAGAGUGAUCGAAAGAUGAAAAGCACUUUGGAAAGAGAGUUAAAAAGCACGUGAAAUUGUUGAAAGGGAAGCGCUUGCAGCCAGACUUGCCUGUAGUUGCUCAUCCGGGUUUCUACCCGGUGCACUCUUCUAUAGGCAGGCCAGCAUCAGUUUGGGCGGUUGGAUAAAGGUCUCUGUCAUGUACCUCCUUUCGGGGAGAACUUAUAGGGGAGACGACAUGCAACCAGCCUGGACUGAGGUCCGCGCAUCUGCUAGGAUGCUGGCGUAAUGGCUGUAAGCGGCCCGUCUUGAAACACGGACCAAGGAGUCUAACAUCUAUGCGAGUGUUUGGGUGUCAAGCCCGAGCGCGUAAUGAAAGUGAACGGAGGUGGGAACCUUUCGGGGUGCACCAUCGACCGAUCCUGAUGUCUUCGGAUGGAUUUGAGUAAGAGCAUAGCUGUUGGGACCCGAAAGAUGGUGAACUAUGCUUGAAUAGGGUGAAGCCAGAGGAAACUCUGGUGGAGGCUCGCAGCGGUUCUGACGUGCAAAUCGAUCGUCAAAUUUGGGCAUAGGGGCG